Molecule: ribosomal RNA, 482 nt
Filed under: uncultured bacterium
Lineage: Bacteria
Description: partial 16S ribosomal RNA
Rfam family: Bacterial small subunit ribosomal RNA
Source: RNAcentral
AUUGAACGCUGGCGGCAUGCUUUACACAUGCAAGUCGAACGGUAACAGGCCGCAAGGUGCUGACGAGUGGCGAACGGGGGAGUAAUGCAUCGGAACGUGCCCAGUCGUGGGGGAUAACUACUCGCAAGAGUAGCUAAUACCGCAUACGAUCUAUGGAUGAAAGCGGGGGACCGCAAGGCCUCGCGCGAUUGGAGCGGCCGAUGUCAGAUUAGGUAGUUGGUGGGGUAAAGGCUCACCAAGCCAACGAUCUGUAGCUGGUCUGAGAGGACGACCAGCCACACUGGGACUGAGACACGGCCCAGACUCCUACGGGAGGCAGCAGUGGGGAAUUUUGGACAAUGGGCGCAAGCCUGAUCCAGCAAUGCCGCGUGCAGGAAGAAGGCCUUCGGGUUGUAAACUGCUUUUGUACGGAACGAAACGGCUCUGGUUAAUACCCGGAGCUAAUGACGGUACCGUAAGAAUAAGCACCGGCUAACUACGUG